UACCAGCACCCCGAGUGGUCGGGACGUUUUAUUGGGCCUAAAGCAUCCGUAGCCGGUUCUACAAGUCUUCCGUUAAAUCCACCUGCUUAACAGAUGGGCUGCGGAAGAUACUAUAGAGCUAGGAGGCGGGAGAGGCAAGCGGUACUCGAUGGGUAGGGGUAAAAUCCGUUGAUCCAUUGAAGACCACCAGUGGCGAAGGCGGCUUGCCAGAACGCGCUCGACGGUGAGGGAUGAAAGCUGGGGGAGCAA
Molecule: ribosomal RNA, 249 nt
Filed under: uncultured bacterium
Lineage: Bacteria
Description: partial 16S ribosomal RNA
Rfam family: Archaeal small subunit ribosomal RNA
Source: RNAcentral